This 448-nucleotide ribosomal RNA is filed under the name uncultured bacterium. RNAcentral describes it as "bacterial SSU rRNA". It matches the Rfam family "Bacterial small subunit ribosomal RNA", at positions 329 to 793 of the family's 1533-position model. The record is from RNAcentral.
GUCCAGACUCCUACGGGAGGCAGCAGUGGGGGAUAUUGCACAAUGGGGGAAACCCUGAUGCAGCGACGCCGCGUGGGUGAAGAAGCGCCUCGGCGCGUAAAGCCCUGUCAGCAGGGAAGAAAAUGACGGUACCUGAAGAAGAAGCCCCGGCUAACUACGUGCCAGCAGCCGCGGUAAUACGUAGGGGGCAAGCGUUAUCCGGAUUUACUGGGUGUAAAGGGGGCGCAGACGGCGAUGCAAGCCAGGAGUGAAAGCCCGGGGCCCAACCCCGGGACUGCUCUGGAAACUGUAAAGCUGGAGUGCGGGAGGGGCAGGCGGAAUUCCUGGUGUAGCGGUGAAAUGCGUAGAUAUCAGGAGGAACACCGGCGGCGAAGGCGGCCUGCUGGACCGUGACUGACGUUGAGGCUCGAGAGCGUGGGGAGCAAACAGGAUUAGAUACCCUGGUAUG